GAUCCCUUAGCUCAGCUGGAAGAGCGCCACCUUGACGUGGUGGAGGUCACAGGUUCGAGCCCUGUAGGGAUCA
RNAcentral lists this transfer RNA (73 nucleotides) under Pseudoramibacter alactolyticus ATCC 23263. It matches the Rfam family "tRNA". From Rfam's summary of the family: Transfer RNA (tRNA) molecules are approximately 80 nucleotides in length. Lineage: Bacteria; Bacillati; Bacillota; Clostridia; Eubacteriales; Eubacteriaceae. The record is from Rfam by way of RNAcentral. RNAcentral also lists the same sequence under 1 other name.